Molecule: long non-coding RNA, 521 nt
Organism: Talpa occidentalis (Iberian mole)
Lineage: Eukaryota; Metazoa; Chordata; Mammalia; Eulipotyphla; Talpidae
Exons: 6
Source: RefSeq, a predicted model, not a curated record
UGGGCCAUAUUUUUUUAUACUCACAGGCCUUGAAGCAUAAUCACAUACAUUAAAUGACCUGAGUUGCUAAUUGUUACACUUGAAGAAUUCCAUAAACUUGAGCAGAGAACAAAAUUGCCUUACGGCUAAUGAGUUUUGCGGCAAAAUGGUUGACGGCAAAGAAUUUACAGCCCAAGUCUUGGCACGGUCGGCUUGCACACAGCGAGUGCUCAGUAGAUACAGGGUACUGAAUUCGCUAAUGUCCUGCAGAGAAAACUGGCUGUUGGACUUUAAGUGUAUGUGCUGGAUUUAGGAGCCGCUGAUGGUAAAAAUGUAAUUUAAGAAGACUACAAAUAUUUGCACAGAAACAGUUUGCCAACCCCUCUUCUUGAACAUGAGAGGAAUGAGCAAGAAGUUUGAUUUUGUCCCACUUGUUCUCUGUGCUAUGAGGAUGCAAGAAUCAUCAUUUCCGAAUUUGAAGGACAAACCAGGCACUAGGCACAGGCUUCCAAAAUAAGAGCGAAAUGAGGACAUUCUGUGGU